AUUGAACGCUGGCGGCAGGCCUAACACAUGCAAGUCGAGCGGAUGAAGGGAGCUUGCUCCUGGAUUCAGCGGCGGACGGGUGAGUAAUGCCUAGGAAUCUGCCUGGUAGUGGGGGAUAACGUCCGGAAACGGGCGCUAAUACCGCAUACGUCCUGAGGGAGAAAGUGGGGGAUCUUCGGACCUCACGCUAUCAGAUGAGCCUAGGUCGGAUUAGCUAGUUGGUGGGGUAAAGGCCUACCAAGGCGACGAUCCGUAACUGGUCUGAGAGGAUGAUCAGUCACCCGGGAAAGGAGACACGGCCCAGACCCCCACGGGGGGCACGCGGGGGGAAUUUUGGAAAAGGGGGGAAAGCUUGACCCAGCCAUGCCGGGGGGGUGAAGAAGGUCUUCGGUUUGUAAAGCACUUUAAGUUGGGAGGAAGGGCAGUAAGUUAAAACCUUGCUGUUUUGACGUUACCAACAGAAUAAGCACCGGCUAACUUCGG
This 483-nucleotide ribosomal RNA is filed under the name uncultured bacterium. RNAcentral describes it as "partial 16S ribosomal RNA". It matches the Rfam family "Bacterial small subunit ribosomal RNA", at positions 29 to 506 of the family's 1533-position model. The record is from RNAcentral.